CAAUAGCGUAUAUUAAAGUUGUUGCAGUUAAAAAGCUCGUAGUUGGACCUUGGGCCUGGACGGGCGGUCCGCCUCACGGCGUGUACUGUCUUGCCGGGCCUUUCCUCUUGGUGAUCUGUUGUUUCGGCAGCAGGGAACCAGGACCUUUACUUUGAAAAAAUUAGAGUGUUCAAAGCAGGCUCGACGCCGGAAUAUAUUAGCAUGGAAUAAUAAAAUAGGACGUGCGGUUCUAUUUUGUUGGUUUUUGGAAUCGCCGUAAUGAUUAAUAGGGACAGUCGGGGGCAUUAGUACUCACAUGCUAGAGGUGAAAUUCUUGGAUUUUGUGAAGACUAACUUCUGCGAAAGCAUUUGCCAAGGAUGUUUNCAUUAA
RNAcentral lists this ribosomal RNA (370 nucleotides) under uncultured eukaryote. RNAcentral describes it as "partial 18S ribosomal RNA". It matches the Rfam family "Eukaryotic small subunit ribosomal RNA", at positions 592 to 976 of the family's 1831-position model. The record is from RNAcentral.